This 775-nucleotide ribosomal RNA is filed under the name uncultured Neocallimastigales. Its description in RNAcentral is "partial large subunit ribosomal RNA". It matches the Rfam family "Eukaryotic large subunit ribosomal RNA", at positions 22 to 645 of the family's 3401-position model. The record is from RNAcentral. Lineage: Eukaryota; Fungi; Neocallimastigomycota; Neocallimastigomycetes; Neocallimastigales.
GUACACGCUGUGACUAGCAUAUCAAUAAGCGGAGGAAAAGAAACUAACAAGGAUUCCCCUAGUAACGGCGAGUGAAGCGGGAAGAGCUCAAAUUUGAAAUCUUAAAGGGUUUCCCUUUACGAAUUGUAGUUUAAAGAAGUGUUUUCUGUUGAGGUUUUGGUAAAAGUUCUUUGGAAUAGGACAUCAUAGAGGGUGAGAAUCCCGUAUUUGACCUUUACUUUCAACUUUGUGAUACACUUUCAAAGAGUCGGAUUGUUUGGGAAUGCAGUCCAAAAUGGGUGGUAAAUUUCAUCUAAAGCUAAAUAUUGGCGAGAGACCGAUAGCGAACAAGUACCGUGAGGGAAAGAUGAAAAGAACUUUGAAAAGAGAGUUAAACAGUACGUGAAAUUGUCAAAAGGGAAGCGUUUGACACCAGUGUUGUUUUUCUGAAAAUCAAUUAAAGAACUGUUUAUGCUAAGUUGUUUAGACUUUAUUAGCUAAUCUGUUUAGUUUUGAGCUUUUCUUUAAUGCACUUUUCAGUUAACAAGUCAACAUCAAUUUCUUUUGCUGUAAAAAAGCUUGAGGAAGGUGGCUUGAGAUUCGUCUUAAGUGUUUAUAGCCUCUUGCCUAUGCAGUCGGAGAGAUUGAGGUCUGCAGCGUAGAUCCUUCGGGGCUAAAUGCAUUUGUGCUAAGUUAUAGCAUUUUAGUAGACAACUUGUUGACUAUGAUUUGUCUUGUAGCUUACUCGCUUAUGUUAUUUUACCUACGCUAGGAUGUUGAAGUCAUCGUAUCGCGC